CCUACGAGAGGCAGCAGUGGGGAAUAUUGCACAAUGGGGGAAACCCUGAUGCAGCGACGCCGCGUGAGUGAAGAAGUAUUUCGGUAUGUAAAGCUCUAUCAGCAGGGAAGAAAUACUGACCUUACGGUCAGCAGACGGUACCUGACUAAGAAGCCCCGGCUAACUACGUGCCAGCAGCCGCGGUAAUACGUAGGGGGCAAGCGUUAUCCGGAUUUACUGGGUGUAAAGGGAGCGUAGACGGCAGCGCAAGUCUGAAGUGAAAUCCCAUGGCUUAACCAUGGAACUGCUUUGGAAACUGUGCAGCUGGAGUGCAGGAGAGGUAAGCGGAAUUCCUAGUGUAGCGGUGAAAUGCGUAGAUAUUAGGAGGAACACCAGUGGCGAAGGCGGCUUACUGGACUGUAACUGACGUUGAGGCUCGAAAGCGUGGGGAGCAAACAGGAUUAGAUACCCGGGUAGUC
This 458-nucleotide ribosomal RNA is filed under the name uncultured bacterium. RNAcentral describes it as "partial 16S ribosomal RNA". It matches the Rfam family "Bacterial small subunit ribosomal RNA", at positions 338 to 795 of the family's 1533-position model. The record is from RNAcentral.